CUUUCUAUUUUCUUUUCUCUUUCCUCUAGAUGCGCCUCUCUUCUCCAUCUUCUUCAACUUCAACAGCAAACCAAAAACUCAAACAAAUCAGAAGAAAUAAAAAGAAAAAAAAAAAACCAAAAUCAUUGCUCGUUAACCCAGCCUGCUUCUCCAUCUUCUUCAUCUACUCUACAAAAUCCAAGUUCUUCCAGUGAACCCUAUUUAAACCUGUAACCACAGAACAAAGCAAAGAGGCUAGAUCAUCAAUUAGUCAAAGGAGAUUAAAGGGAUGGCUAAGAAGGACAAUGUGGAUAAUGUGGCACUUCAGAAGGUUAUUUCCGUAUUAUCGCAAAAACAAGAAGAAUGCAAGGAGACCUGCAAUAACAUCAAUUCGAUCUCAAAACAACGCUAAGGAGAAGGCCAAAGCAGCUGGAAAGAUGAAAGUUUGGCAAGGUUAUGCGCAUGGUGUGGUUGCUUUGGCCACAUGGUUCUGUUGGGAAACAACUUUUGAGGCUCUACAAUGUUAGCAUCAAGGAGAAUAUAAGGAGGUGGAAAUACUGGAAAUGCGUUAAAUUGUGUUGCUCGCCUGGGACUGAAUUCUGGCUUAUUCAAAAGAUACUUCACUCAUAUCCCCAUUCUGAGUUUGAAUUACUAAGACCUUACGCUGGUAUGCUGCUUGUGAGUGAAAGCAUAUGAGUUAUAAUCUUUUACCUCAUAACUUAACUUGACCAGUCAAAUAGGCUCACUGCAUAGAGUUCUCGGGGCUUUUUGAGAGCUAUUCGCAAUUCAUGUAACUGUCUUGUAGCUUAUUUGGAUAUAACUUGUCCUGUAGAUCAUCUGGUAGUGUUAUUUUCUAAUUAAGUACAUAACAUUGAAAUGCAUGAAAUGCUAAUCAACUUCAUAACGGUGCACCUGCAUUCCAAGUUCGAUCCGCAAUAGCAUGACCUUUGUCUGUUCAUUAGCCAAUGCAAUAACAACUGAAGGCAGAGUUGAUUUAAUAAGCAUAACUGGAUCAAUGCUCACAUUUAAGUUGCAUGUGGAAAUUUAAGACCACAUUUGGUUUAGACAAUGGCAUAUGAUAAAUAUGGGAUGGGAAUCAUGUUUGAAUCAUAAUAGUUGAAGGAUCUUAGCAUGUUGCUUCCAUCUUUAGUCUGAACCUGCUUCAGUCGGUCAUAUCUUAGGUGAAUAUAAUUAUAGAUGCUUAGAUGGUGGUGCUGUAAUGGAUUAGUCAAACAUCUUCAAGCUCCCCCAUUCAUUUCAGACAUUGAAUCAUCUACUAAUUAAGCCUUUCGAAUACGAGAGCAUGGGCUUUUGCUCUUGGACUACUAGCUUUCAAGAUAGCAGGUGGCUUAGGCAUUAUACAGAUGUUGCAAGUGAUUGAGGCUACUCCAAAGAAUCCUGAUGGCAAAACUCAGAUAUGUUGCUAUAUGCUAACAUCUCACCAGACAACAUACUAGCAAAGCAAACACUUGACAUACUCUCAGCUAGCCGUCCAAAUUUGAAGUAUAAAUCUCACAAUUGAUGGUGUUGGAGCCCCUAUGUACAAAUUUGAUGGACACAAAUCGUUUGUUCAUUGCGUUCAGUGGUGUCCAGAUAAUUAUCAACAUCUGGCAGUGCUGCAGAGGAUGGCAUUUUGAAUGUUUGGGAUCAUGAAAAGGUACAGGAAUCCGUUAAUGGUUUUAUGUGCUCGUUAUCAUCUAAGCUACCGGGUUAGCUUUACUUUGAUUUAACAUCAUAAGGUGUCGUGUCUUUAUAAUACUAUCUUUAAGUAAAGCUUGAUGAUAUCGAUACAUCACCUUUCUUAUAUUUCUGUUUUUUUUAUUGGUGAGAGGGGGAGAAUUCUGUGUAGGCAAAAGUUUUUAAUUAGGUUCAAAGGUCUUGUAGCUGAUGGAAGUAGAUCACUACUUUCGGGACAAGCAGGGAGGUAAUAAUAUUGCCUUAACAUCUCAAAUUUGUCCUUAUGUUAACUCUGUCUGAGUUCACCAUUGUGAUUAGUUUCAUAUCAAAUAUUACACGUAAGUCCCGUCAGAAUCAUGCGCCGUGCUCAGGGUUGUGUUAUACUUAACAGAGAUUGGGUUCACAACAAAGAAACAAAAACGUCUCUAUGUUAUGUGUGAGGCGGCUCUGACGAAGAAAGUUGAUUCAACACCUCAUUGUAAACUAGGGUAUUCAGACUUGCACUUGUCUUUAAGAAUUGUCUUUAAGAAAAAAUGUGAACCUAUCAGCUAAUACUUGUAUUGAUGCAAAUUUAGGAUUUUUUCCCCCUGAUUUUGAAGCUAAGUGCAGGUUUCAUUUCCUUCAAAUUUUGCAAUUUCAACCUGUAUGAAUUGUACAAUGAAUACUGGUUUUUAAAUAAAUUGACAUUUGAAUGUA
Long non-coding RNA from Papaver somniferum (opium poppy), 2352 nucleotides. RefSeq lists it as uncharacterized. Lineage: Eukaryota; Viridiplantae; Streptophyta; Magnoliopsida; Ranunculales; Papaveraceae. The transcript has 12 exons. The record is from RefSeq and is a predicted model, not a curated record.